AAGCGGCGGCGUGAGUUCGGCCGAGGCGAGAGUGGCCAUGGCUGGCGCGUGGACGCGGAGGUCUGCCGGGCUGCUGGCCUGCUGCUGCUUCUUGGCGGGGCUGUGGCUGCCUUCCCUGCCGGCAGCCUCCUCCUCCUCCUCCUUCUCCUCCCCUUCGGCGAGCCCCAGGAUCCUCACUCCCCCGAGAGGGAGCAAACAAUUCCAAUUUGAAACACCCGAGAACCACGUGGUGCUUUACCACGAAGAAGGGGCGCCGUCCGUAUUUGUGGGAGCAGAAAACAAACUGUACGUCUACAACUUUGAGACCAACACCAGUCACACGGAGCCCUUUGAUGUCACGGCAAGUCCGCCAGACUGCAGACAGGAGGACAGCAAGAACUAUCUCACACUCUUGGAGAAGUAUGAAGACAAGUUGUUGAUUUGUGGAACCAAUGCUUGUAACCCUACCUGCUGGAAUUGGGUGAAUGAUACGAAGCAAGCUCGGAAGGGUGCGCAAGGCCUGGCCCCAUUUGGCCUGGACCCGAACGCUCUCGUCCUUAUUGAUGGCAAAGACAUCUACUCCACGAUAAAGAAGCACCGGUAUAAUGGGCGAAUUCCUCGUUUCCGUCGGAUCAAGGGAUCCACGGAGCUUUACACCAGUGACACGGUCAUGAACAACCCGCAGUUCGUGAAGGCCACCAUCAUAAAGCAAGACACGCCAGACAAUGAAAAAAUCUAUUACUUCUUCCGAGAGGACAACCCAGACUGGCCAAGGAACUCGGUUGCCCCCAAAAUCAUCUCUCGAGUGGCUCAGUUAUGCAAGGGAGACAAAGGAGGCAGUGGCUCCCUGUCUUCUUCCAAGUGGACAACCUUCCUGAAGGCCACCUUGUUUUGCGUGGAUGAGGCCACCGACCGGCAUUUCAACCAUUUGCAGGAUAUUGUAAUAGUUGAGUCUCCCAUUUGGUCUGAGACGGCAGUGUAUGGGCUCUUCUCAAAUGAAUGGGACUAUUCAGCGGUCUGUGUCUUCUCCGUUGGUGGAAUUAGUGAGGUCUUCCGAAAAUCACACCUCAAAGGCUACAAUGGGAAACUCCCUGCUAUCAGGCCUGGGCAGUGCCCGGGAAGAGAUGAGAUGACUCCCCAAGAAACCUUCAGAGUGGCAGACAGCCAUCCCGAAGUGUUGGACAAAGUGAAAAAGCAAGCUGUGUUUUAUGGCAAGCAUCACUACCAGCAAAUGGGGGUCCAUCAAGUCCAGGCGGCUGAUGAGGCCUCCUACAAUGUCCUCUACUUGACCACAGACAGAGGAACCAUCCAUAAGGUUGUCCUGUUACCAACGGGUGCCAUGAAUGUUCUGGAGAUCCAGCUGUUCCCGUCGUCUGCUCCCGUCCGAUCUAUGACUGUGGACAACAGGAGGAAUGAGCUGUUUGUGGUUUCCACAAGCGCGGUGGUGCAACUCCCCCUGGCCAUGUGCAAAGCGUAUAAGGACAGCUGCGAGAGCUGCGUCUUGGCGAGAGACCCCCACUGCGGAUGGACUGGGGACACGUGUGCUUCCAUCUAUGACCGAGGCCAACACGGGAAUAGGACGCUGUUGCAGGCUCUAACUCAUGAAGUCUCUCCGGAUAUUUGCGCAUCUUCAAACCACAGCAACACAAAAGAAGAUGACACUAUUCGCCAUGAGAACAUACCUGUGCCACUCCAUGCCCGCUAUUAUCUGAAUUGCUCUGUUGAGUCCCACCAUGCCAAUUACACGUGGACCCACAAGGGUCAGAGCAUUGCACAUUGCAGUGCAGGCCACCAUCAUUGUAUCCACUUCAUUGACAACAUGACGGAUGACCUCUAUGGGACCUAUUCCUGCAUUUCCCAAGAGGAUUGGUUCAACGAAACGCUUGUGACUGAGGAUUUGGUCAGCUCAUCUCCCACGACAAGCAAGAGUAAGAGCUUGCCACCAGGAAAUUUGGCCAUCAAGUCAUCUUUAUCCUUCUGGCUGGGCUUGCUGAACAUGGUUGCCAUUGCUACGUUCAUCCAAUAAUGGACCUUCUGGUUUCUUACCAUCGGUGAUCACACAGUGCCUGACGUAUCUCGCUUUCUCUUCAUUUUUGUGCUGAAGAAGCUAUUUUCCACCUGAGUAGCAAGCUGGGGGCUGCCUGUAGCAAGACAGGUAUCCAUAGCUGAUUUUCUAGGAAGAGAAAGUGGGUUGUAACCCAGUAGAAGCAUCUUAGAAGCCUCCAGGUCAGGAUGCAUCAUGGGGUGCAUCAUCAGAAUCAAAUACUGGUGAAGGUAGAAAAGAAUCUUAGGUUGAUUUUACAGAUACUGCACUUCAAUUCACAUCAUACUUGUGGUUGGAGUCAGAUGUGAAUUGGAGUCCAAGAGUAUCUGGACGGUCACAGUGUAUCCACCAUCUGAAACAUCUAGAGACUCCAGUAGGAUGGAGAGAAUGACUGAGGUGGUGUGGAAGGAUCUGGGGAUGGUCCAUUUUGGUUGGUCAUUGGCAAGGGUCACAUUCUGGAUGGUUGGGGUUUGGAACCCAAAGGGCUGAAUGACUUUAUGAUCAUGGAAUGGUUCAGAAGAAGCAGAAGGUUAAGGCCAAGGCCAUGGGGCAAAUACCACCCAUGGUCAAAUCCUGGGAGAGCUCAAAAUUAAUUUGUUAGGCUUAAACUUGGUGGCCAGAGCAGAGGAGAUGAAGGUAAUCAUGCAUGGUCUCCGCCAAGCAUGGAGAACGUGUGUUUCCAUCUUGAUUAUUUCACCACAAUUCCCAUAAUCCUUAGGCAGUGAAAUCAAGGAGGGCAAAUAAUGGAAACUGCAAUCCAGCAAACAUCUCGCCUCUGUUUUACUAGAAUCUUCUACCAUCUACUGGCACCUUACAUUUGUAAAGCCAUUGACUAUAUACCAGUGGUUCCCAGUCUUUGGGCUUCCGGGUGUUUUGAACCAACUCCCAGAAAUCCCAGCCAUCUUGCCAUCUGAAGUCCAAAACACCUGGAGGCCCAAAGGUUGGGAAUCACUGGUAUAUACCCAGGAUCUUUGAACAUAAGUAAGCCAUAUUUAAUUCCCAGGAUAUAUCUUAAUGUAUUGAUACAUUCUGCCAGGUCAAGCUGUUGGAAAGCAUUACACCGUCCACUGCAAAGUGAUCAGUGGGGAGCGUGGGGAGGAAAGUUCCUUCUUUGACCUACAGUUUCCCAAAUCUCCCAGUGACCACAGUGCCUGGGGAUUCUGGGAAUUGUAUUAUCAAAAAAGGACCUUCCCCUUACUAGCUAUGAUCCAGAAUCCAUCCUCUGCUUACUGAUGCCCUAUAUUGUCCAUAUUGCAAAUAUCUACUGUGGUGGGUUGGGGGAUUUCCAGCCCUCCUCCUUGUGUGUUGGAACAGGCUCAAAGGAAGCGUUCCACACCGACAGAUAGGUCACAGAUGUUCGGAAACCCUUUGUCUUUUUUCCCGAUGGGGAGAAGGAUAUUUAUUUAUUUAUUGUAUAUUGUAUUAUAUACAUUCUGGACCAAUGCUCUGGGGCGAAGAUGGAAAGCUCAGGGUAAUGUUACUGAUGGUGGAAAUGGGCCAAAUCAAACAUUCAUGAAAAGGGCAGAUGGCCCCAAACGCGCUUCCCAGCCAACUCAACCUCCUCGGCUGCAAACGACUGCCUGCGUUGCAUGUUGAACGUUAUUCCAAACCUUUGCAAAGCGAUGUCAGUACAAGCGAGACAUAAAAGGGAAGAUCAAAACCUCCCCUUUAUAUUUUGGCUUUCCAACAAAUGUAUUGUUUUUGGUAUCUUUUGGGAAAGGGACCAAUUCAGAGUUGUUUCCAUGCAGUAGCUGGCAUGCAUGGCAACCUUUGGUUGUCCAUAUCCUGUUAUGUUACAUCUCAAUCCAUAAAGGUAUAAACCAGGAAUGGGCAAACUCUGUCCCUCCGGUUGUUGGGAAUGGUGGGAGUCGGAGUCCAAAACACCUGGAGGGCCAAAGUUUGCUCAUGCCUGGUGUAAACUGUGAAAUGUAUGUGUUCUCCUUUUGGGUGGCCAGUGAGAAGAUACUUUCCCAACCUUUUCCGUAUGCCAAGGAGAUGCUAGUGUUGCACUACAAUGCUUAACCUGUCGGUUUGAACAUUCCUUUGAGUUCCUUGUCCUUUGUUGUUUUAUUUCCUUCAAGCACUUUAACUGUAUGUAUAACUUAAUAAUGCAGUGUGGGGAAACGCAGUGCCACUUGUUUGUAUUUGUCUCGUGGUGUUGUUGCAAGAGAAAUAUUUCUAGAAAUGCUUUUUAUACCAGAAAUAAAACUUUUGUCAAACUUA
Non-coding RNA from Anolis sagrei ordinatus, 4246 nucleotides. Lineage: Eukaryota; Metazoa; Chordata; Lepidosauria; Squamata; Anolidae. The record is from RefSeq and is a predicted model, not a curated record.